GGAGUACGACCGCAAGGUUGAAACUCAAAGGAAUUGGCGGGGGACCGUACAAGGGGUAGAGCAUGUGGUUGAAUUCGAAGCAGCGCGAGGUACCUUUCCAGGUCUGGACAUCUUAUGAGUACUCUGGGGACAGAGCUUUCCGUGGGGAGACAGAGUGACAGGUGGUGAAUGGAUGUCGUCAGGGCGUGUCGUGAGAUGUUGGGUUAAGUCCCGCAACGAGCGCAACCCUUGAUUUUAGUUGCCAGCAUUUAGUUG
This 255-nucleotide ribosomal RNA is filed under the name Listeria monocytogenes. Its description in RNAcentral is "partial 16S ribosomal RNA". It matches the Rfam family "Bacterial small subunit ribosomal RNA", at positions 877 to 1131 of the family's 1533-position model. Lineage: Bacteria; Bacillati; Bacillota; Bacilli; Caryophanales; Listeriaceae. The record is from RNAcentral.